GACGAACGCUGGCGGCGUGCUUAACACAUGCAAGUCGAACGGAAAGGCCCUGCUUUUGUGGGGUGCUCGAGUGGCGAACGGGUGAGUAACACGUGAGUAACCUGCCCUUGACUUUGGGAUAACUUCAGGAAACUGGGGCUAAUACCGGAUAGGAGCUCCUGCUGCAUGGGGGGGGUUGGAAAGUUUCGGCGGUUGGGGAUGGACUCGCGGCUUAUCAGCUUGUUGGUGGGGUAGUGGCUUACCAAGGCUUUGACGGGUAGCCGGCCUGAGAGGGUGACCGGCCACGUUGGGACUGAGCUACGGCCCAGACUCCUACGGGAGGCAGCAGUGGGGAAUAUUGCACUAUGGGCGGAAGCCUGAUGCAGCAACGCCGCGUGCGGGAUGACGGCCUUCGGGUUGUAAACCGCUUUCGCCUGUGACGAAGCGUGAGUGACGGUAAUGGGUAAAGAAGCACCGGCUAACUACGUG
This 468-nucleotide ribosomal RNA is filed under the name uncultured bacterium. RNAcentral describes it as "partial 16S ribosomal RNA". It matches the Rfam family "Bacterial small subunit ribosomal RNA", at positions 28 to 507 of the family's 1533-position model. The record is from RNAcentral.